UACGAACUGUGCGAACGUUAUUCGGAAUCACUGGGCUUAAAGGGUGCGUAGGCGGUUUUCUAAGUCAGGUGUGAAAUCUUCCGGCUCAACCGGAAAACUGCGCCUGAUACUGGAGGACUGGAGUGAGGCAGGGGUGUGUGGAACUUCCGGUGGAGCGGUGAAAUGUGUAGAUAUCGGAAGGAACGCCAGCAGCGAAAGCGGCACACUGGGCCUUUUCUGACGCUGAGGCACGAAAGCCAGGGGAGCGAACGGGAUUAGAAACCCCCGUAGUCC
Molecule: ribosomal RNA, 273 nt
Filed under: uncultured bacterium
Lineage: Bacteria
Description: partial 16S ribosomal RNA
Rfam family: Bacterial small subunit ribosomal RNA
Source: RNAcentral